AGUGAACGCUGGCGGUAGGCCUAACACAUGCAAGUCGAACGGCAGCACAGUAAGAGCUUGCUCUUACGGGUGGCGAGUGGCGGACGGGUGAGGAAUACAUCGGAAUCUACUUUUUCGUGGGGGCUAACGUAGGGAAACUUACGCUAAUACCGCAUACGACCUACGGGUGAAAGCAGGGGAUCUUCGGACCUUGCGCGAUUGUAUGAGCCUAUGUCGGCUUAGCUAGUUGGCGGGGUAAAGGCCCACCAAGGCGACGAUCCGUAGCUGGUCUGAGAGGAUGAUCAGACACACUGGAACUGAGAAACGGUCCAGACACCUACGGGAGGCAGCAGUGGGGAAUAUUGGACAAUGGGCGCAAGCCUGAUCCAGCAAUACCGCGUGGGUGAAGAAGGACUUAGGGUUGGAAAGCCCUUUUGUUGGGAAAGAAAAGAAGCAGGUUAAUACCCCGCUGUUAUGACGGUACCCAAAGAAUAAGCACCGGCUAACUUCGUG
RNAcentral lists this ribosomal RNA (492 nucleotides) under uncultured bacterium. RNAcentral's name for it is "partial 16S ribosomal RNA". It matches the Rfam family "Bacterial small subunit ribosomal RNA", at positions 29 to 507 of the family's 1533-position model. The record is from RNAcentral.